Molecule: long non-coding RNA, 3246 nt
Filed under: Capsella rubella
Lineage: Eukaryota; Viridiplantae; Streptophyta; Magnoliopsida; Brassicales; Brassicaceae
Description: long non-coding RNA (CRUB_LNC001681)
Source: RNAcentral
AGUGUUUGGGAGGGUGAAUCGAAAGGAAGAAUCGUUUGGGAGAGUGAAUCGAAUCAACAAAACUGGUAAGUUUUUAACUAGAUUGGUUUAAUAAUGUCAUGAAUUGAUGAAUUAAUCGUUUGUAUUGAAUAAAUUUGAUGAAAAUCGGUUAGGGUUCAUGUGGAUUUGGUAAUUAGGGUUUCAGAAAAUUUGGGGAUCUUUAAUUUCGUGUUUGAAUUUGCUAAUUGUUGGUGUCCUUAUGCAUGAUUGUAACGAUUAUGGGACAUGCUUGUUUGAAAAUGAUUAGGUUUUGUGGAUUUUUGGUUUCAAUUACUCUUUGUGUAUACCUAAUUUCUCUCUAUUUUUUAGGUUCAAUUGGAGAUGUCUGGAGUUCUUACCCCGUAGGAGAUGAUAGCAAGUACAUUGGUGAUGCAAAACAAGGAAAUACACUCAGUUCCAACACACGGAUUUGGCUUAACAUAACUCUGGUAUGUGUUGUAUCAAUUGAUUAAUGUGUUUGCUUGUUUUGGAGAUUGCUAGGAUUGGUUGUUGUCUGUUUUGGCAUCUUUGUGUAUAUGUUGUUCUCUGUUUUUUGAUUGUGUAUAUGUAUUGCUUUGGCUUCUAGGUGUAAAUGUUGUUGAUUGAUUUGGUUAGUCGUGGAUUAUGUCUAAGUAAUCAAUUGUGUAUUAGUAUAUUGUUGUGAUUGGAUUCUGUUUUAGUAUAUGGUAAUCGAUUGUGUAGAAGUGUAAGUUUAGUUGACUGUUUUGGAUUGUGUAGAAGUGUAAGUAUUGUUGUCUGUUUUGGAUUGUGUAUAAGUAUUGAUUUGGUUGGUCUUGUAUUGAUGUAUUUGGUUAGUCUUGGAUUAUGUCUAAGUAUGUGGUUGAUAUAAGUAUAUUGUUGUGAUUGGAUUCUGUUGUAGUAUAUGGUAAUCGAUUGUGUAGAAGUGUAAGUUUUGUUGGAUGUUUGGAUUGUGUACAAGUGUAAGUAUUGUUGACUGUUUUGGAUUGUGUAUAGGUAGUGUUGUAUUGUUGUCUGUUUUGGAUUGUGUAUAAGUAUUGAUUUGGUUAGUCUUGUAUUGAUGUAUUUGGUUAGUCUUGGAUUCUGUCUAAGUGUGUGGUUGAUAUAAUUAUAUUGUUGUGAUUGGAUUCUGUUGUAGUAUAUGGUAAUCGAUUGUGUAGAAGUGUAAGUAUUGUUGUCUGUUUUGGAUUGUGUAUAAUAGUGUUGAGAUUGGAUUGUGUAGACUGAUAUGGCUUCUUUUAAGAAAAAUAUGGUUGUGUUGUAUUGAUUAUGUAUUGGCUGUUGAAUUGAUUGUAUGUAUUGAAGCUGUCCGUAAUACCAAAAUCACGAAAAUAUGUUUCAUUCUCGAGUGAAAGACGGGAUUAGCGGAGAGAUAUGUGGCGCCAACAUUGUCACAGUAAAUUACCGGUGGCUGAGGAACGUGGACACCAAGUUCAGUGAGAAGUGUCAUCACCCACGCCAGCUCCGCCGCCGCGUUUGCAAGGCACGGUAUUCAGCCUCCGUAGAGGAGCGAGCAACGCCACUCUAUUUCUUGGACGACCACGAGAUUAAAUUUCCGCCAAGGUAGACAAGAUAUGCAUUUGUGGGGAUGCAAUUAUCUAGAUUCCGAGACCAGUCCGCGUCCGAGUAGGCAUGAAGGCUGAUCGGUGUGUUAGCCCAGAGAAAGAUUUCGUGUGUCGACGUUCUAGCCAAGUAACGGAGAAUUUGCUUAGCCGCUUGCCAAUGGAGAUCAGUGGGCUUGUGCAUGAACUGAGACAAACAGUUGACGGCAAAGGCAAUGUCCGGACGUGUGAAGGCAAGAUACUGCAAGCUACCGAGAACCGUUCGAUACUCACUUGGAUUUUCAUGCGGCGAGCCGGAAGUGAGUGUGAGCGGUGUUGGUUGAUUGGUGUGGUUACCGGUUUAGCAUUCAGCAUAUUCGUCUUUGUCAACAGAUCAAUGAUAUAAAGACGUUGCAUCAAGUGGAGCCCUUGUGAAGUCCGUGUAGCUUCGGCGCCCAAGAAAUAACUCAUUUCUCCUAGGUCCUUGAGAGAAAAACAAGAGGCUAGAUGAGCUAUAAAUGUGGUGAGGAGAGCAUCAUUAUUACCCGUGAUAAGCAUAUCAUCGACGUAGACAAGGACAUAGAUGAUAUCCGAGCCACGUUGUUGAAUGAAAAGAGAGGCAUCUGCCACGGAGUUGAUGAAGCCGAGUUGUUGGAGGUAGGUCAGCAGCUCCUGGUACCAAGCACGGGGAGCUUGCUUGAGACAAUAAAGAGUUUUAGGGAGUCGACACACAUAAUGAGGUCGGUCUUUGUCUACAAAGCCGGGAGGUUGUGAGACAUAGACUUCAUCCGUUAGAGUGCCCUGCAAGAAAUCAUUAUUGACAUCUAUUUGGCGUAGGCGCCAUCCUUUGCUCACGGUGACAUGGAGAACCGAACGGACAGUUGUGGAUUUGAUCACUGGACUGAACGUUUCAGUGAAAUCAUGGCCAUAUUGUUGAUUGAAUCCCUUUGCCACUAGCCUUGCUUUAUACAUGUCAAGUUCACCAUUAGGGAGAUAUUUUAGUGUAAAUAUCCACUUACAACCAAUGACGUUUUGAUGAGGCUUUGGAGGUACAAGAUUGUACGUCCCAUUACGUGUUUGAGCAUUGAUCUCAUCAUACAUGGCCUGUCGCCAAUUAGAAUCCUGCAACACCUCCGUAACGGUUUUGGGUAUUUGUCGUUUCAAUUUGGGAAUGGAGGCAAUAAGCGACAGUUUGGUAUUUGGCUUGGUGAUUUGGUUUUUGGCACGUGUUUGCAUAGGGUGAUUAUUUUGCGGUGGUGGUGGAUUAACAUGAUUUGGUAAGGGAGGUGGUGUGGGAGAGCGUGGUUGAGGAGUUGGUUGUCGCGGUGGUGAUGAGGAGAAGGAAGAGGAUGAAGACGUUGGGUUUGAGUGUGUUGGGCUUGGUGAAUGACUUGAUAGGCUUAGUGUUGGUGAUGGGCCGAGUAGAGAGUUGUGGCCCAGGCCAGAGGGUGUAGAGGCCGUUAGUGACAAAGGCGUUGCAAGGAGAAUCGCAGAACGAGUGGUCGAGGCUGUGUGAGCUGGUGAUGUCGGCGGGUGAGGAUCCAAGCGCGGAGGCGGCGGCGGUGUAGAAUGAGCUGUGAGAAACGACAAGUGGACCGGAACCGAGACUGAUGAGACAUUCGAGACAGUUUCCGGUGCCGGCGACAGUGACGAUGGUACCGCCGUGUGAGACAAAUUAAAUGGAAAGGUUGACUCAACAAAAUGAACA